CGGCCAAGCUGUGCAGCUCCAGUCUUUGCGGCGAUGAGUCCGUUGAUGGCCCCGUCGGACACUCGCUGCUGUCAUCCCACCAGCGCAGACGACUCUUCUCGAUCUCACCCUCCUCACGGAGCUAAAAUAAAGGGCUUACGCAUGUUGUAGUAAUCGAGUGAGGGUUGGUCUGUCAAGUAAGCAAACGGUUGCGUACGAGCCUUAAGGACGCCGUACUGUGUGCCAUUUACAAAUGUCUCCUGGGAUUUCAUCUGCUGGAACAUUGUGGCGUAUAUGUCGACCUUGAGACAAGCAGAUGUUAACGGAAAUCCAAGCGUGUUGAGCUUACCUUGGACUCGCUAAAGAAUGUGAAGAGUGACCCCCCUUCCUGGACGCCGUACUUUACUGUGUUUUGACUGACAAGAUCCUCCAGAGAGUUGAUCUUUGAUCGAAUGCUCUUGGCUAAAAACAGUAAACGUUGGCUCAGUUACAGUUAAUAUAAUAUGUGAGGUAACAUUUUAUAAUGCUGUCGGGUGAGU
Molecule: long non-coding RNA, 518 nt
Organism: Nematostella vectensis (starlet sea anemone)
Lineage: Eukaryota; Metazoa; Cnidaria; Anthozoa; Actiniaria; Edwardsiidae
Exons: 3
Source: RefSeq, a predicted model, not a curated record